UAAAUGAUGAUAAUCACACCUGUAUAACAAAAUAUACAGGCCCCUCAUUACCAGUUUCUUGUAAAUCUGGAAAUAUCCCGGUAGGCUGAAGGCCUCAGAAGCAGAAAGGCUUUCCUCUAAUGCUCUAUGCCUUGUGUUUCACAACUGUGUAGUACGGUAGGGGUUUAGCAAAAGUAAAUCUCCAUAACUGCUAGUCAAACAAUGACAGUUAACAGAAGUUUUACCCAGUGCCAUCAAGGUAAUAAUUAACAAUUCAGAGCAAAAAGGGGAAGCAUGAUAAUAAAAAAGUCAGCAGCUAAUAAAGAAAAGGAGUGAAGUAACUGCACGAACACCAUACCCAGGCAAUCAUUAUAAAUAAAGCAAUGGAGUAACUAUGCUUUAAGAAAGCUUCUCUGUAUCAGAACAACACACGGCAGAAACUGAAGGGUCCCCACAGUCCACCAUUCAUUGCGCUUCUCCAGCCUCCAGCUCCAGGCCCUCUUGCCCAAGGAGUCUCAGACCUCCAUGACUGGCAAGCAGUGGUCAGCAAGUCUUCUAAUCGCCUCUUCUCAAAUUCAUUUCUGGAACCAGAUAGCAAUGCUCAGAGACUAGAAGAGGAAUGAGGAUAGCUUCAAACAAGCCAACAUAAUGAAAUAUGCUUUCCAUUUAUUAUCUGAAGAAAAAUGUACAUUAUUGUUUAUUACAAAUUGGUGAAAACAAAAGUUUUGUCUACCUUACUUUACCUAAAGUUUUGUACCUUUCGAUUGUUAUACCCCAUACGAUGGUUCGGAUAUUUGGUUUUAUCACGUAUUGGAGACUAACAGACUCGCUUCACACUCCCAAAGUAGAAAGAAAUUUUCACUUGUGAAUAAAUGAUAGACAUUAUGA
Long non-coding RNA from Heterocephalus glaber (naked mole-rat), 867 nucleotides. RefSeq lists it as uncharacterized. The record is from RefSeq and is a predicted model, not a curated record. Lineage: Eukaryota; Metazoa; Chordata; Mammalia; Rodentia; Bathyergidae.